GGGCUUCGCGCGAUAAGAUGAGCCGAUGUCGGAUUAGCUAGUUGGCGGGGUAAAGGCCCACCAAGGCGACGAUCCGUAGCUGGUCUGAGAGGAUGAUCAGCCACACUGGAACUGAGACACGGUCCAGACUCCUACGGGAGGCAGCAGUGGGGAAUAUUGGACAAUGGGCGCAAGCCUGAUCCAGCCAUGCCGCGUGGGUGAAGAAGGCCUUCGGGUUGUAAAGCCCUUUUGUCCGGAAAGAAAAGCAUCGGGUUAAUACCUCGGUGUUCUGACGGUACCGGAAGAAUAAGCACCGGCUAACUUCGUGCCAGCAGCCGCGGUAAUACGAAGGGUGCAAGCGUUACUCGGAAUUACUGGGCGUAAAGCGUGCGUAGGUGGUUCGUUAAGUCUGAUGUGAAAGCCCUGGGCUCAACCUGGGAAUUGCAUUGGAUACUGGCGGGCUAGAGUGCGGUAGAGGAUGGC
Molecule: ribosomal RNA, 462 nt
Filed under: uncultured Gammaproteobacteria bacterium
Lineage: Bacteria; Pseudomonadati; Pseudomonadota; Gammaproteobacteria
Description: bacterial SSU rRNA
Rfam family: Bacterial small subunit ribosomal RNA
Source: RNAcentral